CAUCUCUCCUUUCUCUUUUGUCGGAAUUUAAUCAAAGCAGCCUCUCUUUGAGCCAAGUGAUCACCACUUCUGCUUGCACUUCCACUCCCACUCCCACUGCCAAUUUCACAUUUUUCACCAGUUUCAUUUUCAGCAACCAAAUUUGUUCCUUCAGCAACUACAGCAGUGCUACUCCCAUUUUGGCCACUGCUUCCAUUUUGCCCAUUGCUUCCAUUGUUACUUCCUGAUGCACUUCCAUAAUUAGCAGCAUUUCCUUCAACAGGAGUACCUACCAUGUCAGAUGUUCCGCAAUCUGGAGCAGCUUCAACAUCAUUUCGCAAAGACGAAUCAUCAUUGUUAAGCAGCUGUUGUCGCUGCUGCAAGUUAAGCACAUGGUGGUGAUGGUGAUGGUAGUGAUGAUGGUGGUGCUGAACUUGGAACUUCUGGUGCAUCGCUCUUGCUUGGCUCACGGCUGCCUUUGCAGUAUCUUGUGUUCGUGGAACCAUAGCUUGAAGAGAAGAAUUAUGUCCAUGUUGCACUGGUUGAAAUGCAGAACAGGGAUGGGCAUUGACUGCAGGUUUGUUUAUUGGCUUGUCAGUUAAUGUGUUUGGUUUGCUGAAGAAAUUAUUUGUCGAGGAGCCCAUGUCAUUGUUGUUACUACUUCCAUUUGAGCACUGAUUAGGGGUACUGUUUGACUUCGAUCGCAAGUUAUGAAUUGAUUCUGCUUUUGCAACUUCUGAACAAUUAUUAACUGGUGAACAGCUGCCCACGUUUCCAGUUGGAGCCUGAUUAGCAGUUGAAGCAGCAUUAUACCUGCAUGUGAUGACAAUCUAUUAGCAAUUGUAGCUUCUUUACUCAGGUUGUUGAGUUUUAGUGACAGAUUAAACACAUGCCUAGAGAAUGCUGACAGAUCUGAAUGCCUGAGUAUAUUUCGCUCUUGAACACCAGUCCCAUUCUCUCCAACAUCUCGAAGUUGCUUCAAACUAAGUUCAAGUGAAGGCAUGUCUUGACUGUCAUAGGUGGCAAUUUCUUUUAUGUUUGUGAUCUUGAAAGGAUCAUUAGGAACUUCAUUGGCCAUACUUUCUACUUGAGGCGUACAUGUGUUGGUUAUGUCACCCAUAUAACCAACAUCCUUGUCCUUCAGGUCAUCUUCCCGAGUUUCCUUGUUCAGCUUUAGGUUUCUACCCAUAUUCUCAUUAUCCUUAGGAUCUAACUCCAAAUGUUUGUCCUUAAUAGAAGCUGCUAAACCAUCCAUUACUUUACCUGAUAGGCCUUCAAGCUCUGGAACAUUAGUGACACCCAUGUUCAAAUCUUUACCCAUUCUAGCAUUUCCUGAGAUGUAAACCACAUCAUGAAUAUAACAGAUUAUAUAAUAAC
Molecule: long non-coding RNA, 1356 nt
Filed under: Solanum tuberosum (potato)
Lineage: Eukaryota; Viridiplantae; Streptophyta; Magnoliopsida; Solanales; Solanaceae
Description: long non-coding RNA (STUB_LNC004727)
Source: RNAcentral